GAAACACUCUGCAAAGAAUCCUACACUGCAGGAAAUAGUCCUGUUCUAUUUAAAUAUUUGCUAGUUAUAGAAAUUACUUCCUUUCCAAUUGCUUUGCUUCUUUUGCUUUUUAAAUUGUUCGGUUUAAUUAUCAAACUGCUUUCAAGUACAGGAUAGCUGGGUUAUUUUUUUUAAGAGUACUAUUAGUUUUGAGUUAUUUCUGUAACUAGUACCUGUUUUUAUUAGAUGCUUCUCACCUCCCACAAAAACGAUUUGAAAAUAAUUACAGCAUCAGAAUAAGUAACACGGGUAUAAUUAAAUUUUAAGGGAUAAGUUUAAGUGACAACUAAACAGUGAUUUUUUCAUUCUAAUAGACAGAUCUUGUCCCUUCAACCCCUAAAAAAUCAAAAUAGCUAAACAUUUCCUUCUUUUUUUUCUUAUCAAAGCCAAAACUUAUUAUAAUUUUAUUUAAAAUGGGAAAGAGGACAGUAUCAUGUCAGAUUAAGUGCAUUAAAUGACUCCUGGGGAUAUUUGAUUAAAUGUUUUGGAGGCAAGUGCACAGUGACAUGAGCCUAAUGAACUACCAACAGCUCUGAUUUGAUCCAAAUGACACCACUUUAAGGUUAUUUAGAAAGGUCACUGUAAAAAUAACAUCGUGUUUUUAGCAUCAGCUUCGAUACCUGCUUGCUCAGUAGAGCAGCACACACCAAGCAAUGACAAAAGCAGUUUUAUGAAAGUUGAGUAGUUAUGGCUUAACUCUGUCGUUUACAUCAGGAUCUAAUUAUAGAAGGCUGGGUCACGCCGCUGGCUCUGCCGGCUUCCUCCAGCACACCAGCCCGCGCGGCGGACGGGGAAAGCCUACCACGGGCACGGCUCUCCACCUGGCAGGAGCCACGUCUCCACUCCUGGUCAGAAAAGGAGGAAAUUGUCUGCUGUGCAAUACGGUUGUGAAAACAACAGAACUGCGUAGAGGAGGACAGCACUUUGUAAAAGAGGAGGCAGCCCUGAAAAUGAAUACGGA
Molecule: long non-coding RNA, 1000 nt
Filed under: Anser brachyrhynchus (Pink-footed goose)
Lineage: Eukaryota; Metazoa; Chordata; Aves; Anseriformes; Anatidae
Description: lncRNA (ENSABRG00000011011.1)
Source: RNAcentral